RNAcentral lists this ribosomal RNA (710 nucleotides) under uncultured bacterium. RNAcentral's name for it is "bacterial SSU rRNA". It matches the Rfam family "Bacterial small subunit ribosomal RNA", at positions 9 to 719 of the family's 1533-position model. The record is from RNAcentral.
GAGUUUGAUCAUGGCUCAGAUUGAACGCUGGCGGCAGGCCUAACACAUGCAAGUCGAGCGGCAGCGCGGGGGCAACCCUGGCGGCGAGCGGCGGACGGGUGAGUAACGCGUGGGAAUCUAACCAGUAGAGGGGGAUAGCCCGGGGAAACUCGGAUUAAUACCGCAUACGCCCUAAGGGGGAAAGCAGGGGAUCUUCGGACCUUGCGCUAUUGGAAGAGCCCGCGUCGGAUUAGCUAGUUGGUAGGGUAAAGGCCUACCAAGGCGACGAUCCGUAGCUGGUCUGAGAGGAUGAUCAGCCACACUGGAACUGAGACACGGUCCAGACUCCUACGGGAGGCAGCAGUGGGGAAUAUUGCGCAAUGGGCGAAAGCCUGACGCAGCCAUGCCGCGUGCGUGAAGAAGGCCUUAGGGUUGUAAGGCACUUUCAGUAGGGAGGAAAGGUGUAAGGAUAAUACCCUUGCGCUGUGACGUUACCUACAGAAGAAGCACCGGCUAACUCUGUGCCAGCAGCCGCGGUAAUACAGAGGGUGCAAGCGUUAAUCGGAAUGACUGGGCGUAAAGCGCGCGUAGGUGGUUUGUUAAGUUGGAUGUGAAAGCCCCGGGCUCAACCUGGGAAUGGCAUCCAAAACUGUCAGACUAGAGUAUAGUAGAGGGGGGUAGAAUUUCGGUGUAGCGGUGAAUGCGUAAGAUCGGAAGGAUACAGUGGCGAA